GUUGUCGUAGCUUAUCUCAAGCAUAGCACUGAAAAUGCUAAGAUGGUACACGCCCGUAUAACA
This 63-nucleotide transfer RNA is filed under the name Pareas formosensis (Formosa slug snake). Its description in RNAcentral is "tRNA-Phe". The record is from RNAcentral. Lineage: Eukaryota; Metazoa; Chordata; Lepidosauria; Squamata; Pareidae.